CGGGAUAUAGCGCAGUUUGGUAGCGCGCCUGCUUUGGGAGCAGGAUGUCGCAGGUUCAAGUCCUGCUAUCCCGAU
RNAcentral lists this transfer RNA (75 nucleotides) under Gracilaria salicornia. RNAcentral describes it as "tRNA-Pro". It matches the Rfam family "tRNA". Rfam says of the family: Transfer RNA (tRNA) molecules are approximately 80 nucleotides in length. Their secondary structure includes four short double-helical elements and three loops (D, anti-codon, and T loops). The record is from RNAcentral. Lineage: Eukaryota; Rhodophyta; Florideophyceae; Gracilariales; Gracilariaceae.